GCUGGCGGCAGGCCUACACAAUGCUCCCCGAGCGGAUGACGGGAGCUUGCUCCUUCCUUCAGCGGCGGACGGGUGAGUAAUGCCUAGGAAUCUGCCUGGUAGUGGGGGACAACGUUUCGAAAGGAACGCUAAUACCGCAUACGUCCUACGGGAGAAAGCAGGGGACCUUCGGGCCUUGCGCUAUCAGAUGAGCCUAGGUCGGAUUAGCUAGUUGGUGAGGUAAUGGCUCACCAAGGCGACGAUCCGUAACUGGUCUGAGAGGAUGAUCAGUCACACUGGAACUGAGACACGGUCCAGACUCCUACGGGAGGCAGCAGUGGGGAAUAUUGGACAAUGGGCGAAAGCCUGAUCCAGCCAUGCCGCGUGUGUGAAGAAGGUCUUCGGAUUGUAAAGCACUUUAAGUUGGGAGGAAGGGCAGUAAGUUAAUACCUUGCUGUUUUGACGUUACCGACAGAAUAAGCACCGGCUAACUCUGUGCCAGCAGCCGCGGUAAUACAGAGGGUGCAAGCGUUAAUCGGAAUUACUGNGCGUAAAGCGCGCGUAGGUGGUUUGUUAACUUGGAUGUGAAAGCCCCGGGCUCAACCUGGGAACUGCAUCCAAAACUGGCAAGCUAAAGUACGGGUACAGGGUGGUGGAAUUUCCUGUGUACCGAUGAAAUGCUUAAAUAUAUUUAAGGAACACCACUGCCCAAGGCAACCACCUGGAUUGAUCCUGACCCUUUAGGUCCCAAAACGUGGGGACCAAACCGGGAUUAAAAACCCU
RNAcentral lists this ribosomal RNA (762 nucleotides) under Pseudomonas sp. Bac18C. RNAcentral describes it as "bacterial SSU rRNA". It matches the Rfam family "Bacterial small subunit ribosomal RNA", at positions 35 to 788 of the family's 1533-position model. The record is from RNAcentral. Lineage: Bacteria; Pseudomonadati; Pseudomonadota; Gammaproteobacteria; Pseudomonadales; Pseudomonadaceae.